RNAcentral lists this ribosomal RNA (1113 nucleotides) under Triticum aestivum (bread wheat). RNAcentral's name for it is "partial small subunit ribosomal RNA". Lineage: Eukaryota; Viridiplantae; Streptophyta; Magnoliopsida; Poales; Poaceae. The record is from RNAcentral.
AUGGACAGUGGAGACGAGUUUUUCUUUCAUCACUUCCUUUGUUCGUCGGACGAUUCGUCGUCGGAUGAUGAAGAUCUUGUGGUGGCUGCACUGGUUGUUCACGACCAUAUUCAACGGCAGCUUCCUCGGUACAGGGGGUCACUCCCUGGCCGUGCUCCCAACCUGAACCGCAACAGGGAGAGAGGCCACGCCCUGCUUUAUGCCGAUUACUUUGCCAACACCCCGCUCUUCAAGCAGGAUAAAUUUCGUCGCCGUUUUCGUAUGCCAAGGCAUGUGUUCAAUCGUAUCCGAGAGGGAGUGGUUGCUCAUGACCCAUACUUCGAGUGCAAGGCGGAUGCCCUUGGCAAGCUUGGGUUCUCCUCUUAUCAGAAAUGCACCGUGGCCAUCCGCAUGCUUGCAUAUGGUAUUCCAGGCGAUCUGGUGGACGAGUAUGUGCGUAUGAGUGAGACAACAUGUCUGAUGUCAAUGUACAAGUUUUGCCAGGCCGUGAUCGAGGUGUUUGGCCCAGAGUACUUGAGACAGCCAACUGCCGCUGAUACAGAGAGAUUGUUGGCGACCAACGCAGCUAGAGGCUUUCCAGGCAUGCUUGGCAGCAUAGAUUUCUUCGCAAGGCUUGCAGAAGGCCACUCCCCACCUAUCAACUUUGAGAUCAACGGCCACCAGUACAACAAGGGAUACUAUCUAGCAGAUGGUAUAUAUCCUCAAUGGUCAACUUUUGUGAAGACAAUCUCGAAACCCCAAGGUGAGAAGAGAAAGAGAUUUGCCCAAAUGCAAGAGAGUGUUAGAAAGGAUGUAGAACGUGCUUUUGGUGUGCUUCAAUCCCGGUGGGGUAUCGUUCAAAACCCUGCACUGUCAUGGGAUGAAAGGAAGCUUUGGGAGGUGAUGACUGCUUGUGUGAUUAUGCACAACAUGAUCGUCGAGGACGAGCGUGAUGAGAGUAUCUUCGACCAAGGAUUUGAUUAUCAAGGUGAAAAUAUUGAGCCCCUGCACCAAGACCCGACCACAUUUGAACAGUUUGUCCAAUUCCACCGUGAGAUGCGUGAUUGGCACACUCAUUUGAAUCUUCAAAAUGACUUGGUUGAGCACGUCUGGGAUCACAUUGGCAACCAAUAG